CGUGGGCGGACGGGUGAGUAACGCGUGAGGAACCUGCCUCAAAGAGGGGGACAACAGUUGGAAACGACUGCUAAUACCGCAUAAGCCCACGGGUCGGCAUCGACCAGAGGGAAAGGAGCAAUCCGCUUUGAGAUGGCCUCGCGUCCGAUUAGCUAGUUGGUGAGGUAAUGGCCCACCAAGGCAACGAUCGGUAGCCGGACUGAGAGGUUGAACGGCCACAUUGGGACUGAGACACGACCCAA
Molecule: ribosomal RNA, 242 nt
Filed under: uncultured bacterium
Lineage: Bacteria
Description: partial 16S ribosomal RNA
Rfam family: Bacterial small subunit ribosomal RNA
Source: RNAcentral